This 73-nucleotide transfer RNA is filed under the name Atopostipes suicloacalis DSM 15692. It matches the Rfam family "tRNA". From Rfam's summary of the family: Transfer RNA (tRNA) molecules are approximately 80 nucleotides in length. Lineage: Bacteria; Bacillati; Bacillota; Bacilli; Lactobacillales; Carnobacteriaceae. The record is from Rfam by way of RNAcentral.
GGACCGCUAGCUCAGUCGGUAGAGCAACGGACUCUUAAUCCGUGGGUCAAGGGUUCAAUCCCCUUGCGGUCCA